CAACAGGGCAUUGCCUUAGUAACGGCGAGUGAAGCGGCAAAAGCUCAAAUUUGAAAUCUGGCAUCUUCGGUGUCCGAGUUGUAAUUUGAAGAUUGAAGGUUCAUUGGGUCUUGUCUAUGUUCCUUGGAAUAGGACAUCACAGAGGGUGAGAAUCCCGUGCGAUGAGAUUCCGUAUUGUAACCUUCUUUCGACGAGUCGAGUUGUUUGGGAAUGCAGCUCUAAGUGGGUGGUAAAUUCCAUCUAAAGCUAAAUAUUGGCGAGAGACCGAUAGCGAACAAGUACAGUGAUGGAAAGAUGAAAAGAACUUUGAAAAGAGAGUGAAAAAGUACGUGAAAUUGUUGAAAGGGAAGGAUAUGAGAUCAGACUUGGUAUUUUGCAACCUUACUCUCGUGGUGGGGCCCCUGCAGUUUACUGGGCCAGCAUCAAUUUGGAUG
This 434-nucleotide ribosomal RNA is filed under the name Priceomyces melissophilus. RNAcentral describes it as "LSU rRNA". It matches the Rfam family "Eukaryotic large subunit ribosomal RNA", at positions 66 to 502 of the family's 3401-position model. Lineage: Eukaryota; Fungi; Ascomycota; Pichiomycetes; Serinales; Debaryomycetaceae. The record is from RNAcentral.